This 200-nucleotide unclassified non-coding RNA is filed under the name soil metagenome. RNAcentral describes it as "partial contains internal transcribed spacer 2 and large subunit ribosomal RNA". The record is from RNAcentral.
GAAUUAGCGGGGUCCUCUUUGCCGAUCCUCGACAUGUGAUAAGAUGUUUCCGUGUCUUGGUUUAUGGCUCUGUUGCUUUUGGGACCCGCUUCUAGCCGUCUCGUCGAGACAACGUUUGAGCGUGUCUCCCUUCUCGGGAAACGCUCUCAGACCCACGAACCCUUGACCUCAAAUCGGGUGAGACUACCCGCUGAACUUAA